GUGGGAAUCGAGCGGAUUAUUAUCGCUGGCAGGACCACCAGGGCAUCGAAUAUGCGGAAGUCGAGAACCUUGAGAACAAUCUGGCCCUGUUUGAGCUUCUACCAGGGGGUGAGAAACUCGGCUCACUGUGCCCGGCACACUUUUCGGCACAGCACCGCACAUCUGGGCACACUUCCUAUCUUUUUUUUUCUGCAGGAUUAGAUUUGACAGUUGAAACUUUGGUGUUGUUCGCCCGGCUCAACAAGCGUGUUUGAGUCGAAACAAAUCGCAAUGAAUACUGCCAUCGAGAACGAGACAUUCAAAGCAAAUAGCUUCCUAAACAUUUCCAAAAUCUUCUGUCUGAACAAAAAUCCAGGUUGACCAGCACUUUGUCAAAUUAUGAAACAUCAUAAAUGCCCAUCGGAGUAUAUUCCGAAAGAGCUUUCCGAGUUGGUCAAUCUCCUGCUAUACCAUCCAAUGGAAGGGACCAUAAUUGACGAUCAACGAUCAGGUUACUCCAUAAGCUUGCUACUUUGCUGUGAAAGAUUCAGCCCUGUACGGCUGCGCUUAGUAUGUCUCCGCCCUGGUCUCAGCUGAUAAUGAAGCAGAAAACCGAAAGAGACAGGCAGAGGAACAACAGGCAUCCGGUUUAUCCGCGGGAAAGAAAAUAACGACAGAUACGUGCUAAUAUCUGGCGGCAGAGAGUAAAUCCGCUGCUAGUAAAGGCAACUGAGGAAGAAGUUACGGAGGAGUUGACAAAUAAUCUCACGAAAAACAUGUGUUAGUAAUUGAUAAGAUUUGUUACUGAUUGUUGAUAAAUAAUGAUUCAAAUAUAUUGAUUCUUACAAAUUCAA
This is a long non-coding RNA of Aedes aegypti (yellow fever mosquito), 833 nucleotides long. RefSeq lists it as uncharacterized. Lineage: Eukaryota; Metazoa; Arthropoda; Insecta; Diptera; Culicidae. The record is from RefSeq and is a predicted model, not a curated record. The transcript is spliced from 2 exons.